GGGGUGACUGCGUACCUUUUGUAUAAUGGGUCAGCGACUUAUAUUCUGUAGCAAGGUUAACCGUAUAGGGGAGCCGCAGGGAAACCGAGUCUUAACCGGGCGUUAAGUUGCAGGGUAUAGACCCGAAACCCGGUGAUCUAGCCAUGGGCAGGUUGAAGGUUGGGUAACACUAACUGGAGGACCGAACCGACUAAUGUUGAAAAAUUAGCGGAUGACCUGUGGCUGGGGGUGAAAGGCCAAUCAAACCGGGAGAUAGCUGGUUCUCCCCGAAAGCUAUUUAGGUAGCGCCUCGUGAAUUCAUCUCCGGGGGUAGAGCACUGUUUCGGCUAGGGGGCCAUCCCGGCUUACCAACCCGAUGCAAACUGCGAAUACCGGAGAAUGUUAUCACGGGAGACACACGGCGGGUGCUAACGUCCGUCGUGAAGAGGGAAACAACCCAGACCGCCAGCUAAGGUCCCAAAGUCAUGGUUAAGUGGGAAACGAUGUGGGAAGGCCCAGACAGCCAGGAUGUUGGCUUAGAAGCAGCCAUCAUUUAAAGAAAGCGUAAUAGCUCACUGGUCGAGUCGGCCUGCGCGGAAGAUGUAACGGGGCUAAACCAU
This 599-nucleotide ribosomal RNA is filed under the name Salmonella enterica subsp. enterica serovar Ituri. RNAcentral's name for it is "partial 23S ribosomal RNA". It matches the Rfam family "Bacterial large subunit ribosomal RNA", at positions 590 to 1190 of the family's 2925-position model. Lineage: Bacteria; Pseudomonadati; Pseudomonadota; Gammaproteobacteria; Enterobacterales; Enterobacteriaceae. The record is from RNAcentral.